CCGGCGACCGGCGCACGGGUGAGUAACACGUAUGCAACCUGCCCUCUUCAGGGGGACAACCUUCCGAAAGGGAGGCUAAUCCCGCGUAUAUCGGUUUCGGGCAUCCGAGAUCGAGGAAAGAUUCAUCGGAAGAGGAUGGGCAUGCGGCGCAUUAGCUAGACGGCGGGGUAACGGCCCACCGUGGCGACGAUGCGUAGGGGUUCUGAGAGGAAGGUCCCCCACACUGGUACUGAGACACGGACCAGACUCCUACGGAAGGCAGCAG
RNAcentral lists this ribosomal RNA (265 nucleotides) under uncultured bacterium. Its description in RNAcentral is "partial 16S ribosomal RNA". It matches the Rfam family "Bacterial small subunit ribosomal RNA", at positions 88 to 354 of the family's 1533-position model. The record is from RNAcentral.